GAGUUUGAUCAUGGCUCAGAUUGAACGCUGGCGGCAGGCCUAACACAUGCAAGUCGGGCGGUAGAGAGAAGCUUGCUUCUCUUGAGAGCGGCGGACGGGUGAGUAAUGCCUAGGAAUCUGCCUGGUAGUGGGGGAUAACGCUCGGAAACGGACGCUAAUACCGCAUACGUCCUACGGGAGAAAGCAGGGGACCUUCGGGCCUUGCGCUAUCAGAUGAGCCUAGGUCGGAUUAGCUAGUUGGUGAGGUAAUGGCUCACCAAGGCGACGAUCCGUAACUGGUCUGAGAGGAUGAUCAGUCACACUGGAACUGAGACACGGUCCAGACUCCUACGGGAGGCAGCAGUGGGGAAUAUUGGACAAUGGGCGAAAGCCUGAUCCAGCCAUGCCGCGUGUGUGAAGAAGGUCUUCGGAUUGUAAAACUCUGUUAUUAGGGAAGAACAAACGUGUAAGUAACUGUGCACGUCUUGACGGUACCUAAUCAGAAAGCCACGGCUAACUACGUGCCAGCCGCCG
RNAcentral lists this ribosomal RNA (513 nucleotides) under uncultured bacterium. RNAcentral describes it as "bacterial SSU rRNA". It matches the Rfam family "Bacterial small subunit ribosomal RNA", at positions 9 to 517 of the family's 1533-position model. The record is from RNAcentral.